UGGGUUUUAAAAAGCCCGAGGCGCACGAGGCGCAAACAUGCCUCGGAGCCUAGGCGCAGGGCUUUAAGCGCAGGCGCGGGCUUUUCGUAGGCGAGGCGCAGUAAAGCCUAAAAAAUUCUAAUAUAUUUACCUACAUUAUAUUUUAUACCAAAAACACAACUUAAAACCACAAAUAGUACUUAAACACACAUAUACUUAAUCCAAAACACACAAAUACUUAAUCCAAAACACACAAAUACUUAAGUUUUAAAAUAUGCAAGUCUAAAAGUACGAUCAAAUAUCAAACAAGUAAUCAAAAAUCAUCAUCCUCAAGUCCAUCAUCCUCAAAUGCGUCAUCCCCAUCAUCUUUGUCUUCACCAAUGUCCUCUUCCAUCUCAUUCACUUCCCUCUCCUCAUCUUCAUCCUCAUCUAAAAGCCUUCUCGAACUCGAAGCAACUACACUCUUUCCUUUAUCAACUCUAGAUGCCCGUCUAGUGCUAUAAAUAGGAUCAUUAGCUCCCGAAGCCUUACUAACGACAUUCCAUGUCAAAUCACC
This 535-nucleotide long non-coding RNA is filed under the name Salvia miltiorrhiza (redroot sage). RNAcentral's name for it is "long non-coding RNA (SMIL_LNC009190)". Lineage: Eukaryota; Viridiplantae; Streptophyta; Magnoliopsida; Lamiales; Lamiaceae. The record is from RNAcentral.